This 433-nucleotide ribosomal RNA is filed under the name uncultured bacterium. RNAcentral describes it as "partial 16S ribosomal RNA". It matches the Rfam family "Bacterial small subunit ribosomal RNA", at positions 29 to 507 of the family's 1533-position model. The record is from RNAcentral.
AGCGAACGCUGGCGGCAGGCCUAACACAUGCAAGUCGAACGAACUCUUCGGAGUUAGUGGCGGACGGGUGAGUAACACGUGGGAACUUGCCUUUUGGUUCGGAAUAACUCAGGGAAACUUGUGCUAAUACCGCAUGUGCCCUUCGGGGGAAAGAUUUAUCGCCAUUAGAGCGGCCCGCGUCUGAUUAGCUAGUUGGUGAGGUAACGGCUCACCAAGGCGACGAUCAGUAGCUGGUCUGAGAGGAUGACCAGCCACACUGGGACUGAGACACGGCCCAGACUCCUACGGGAGGCAGCAGUGGGGAAUCUUGCGCAAUGGGCGAAAGCCUGACGCAGCCAUGCCGCGUGAAUGAUGAAGGUCUUAGGAUUGUAAAAUUCUUUCACCGGGGACGAUAAUGACGGUACCCGGAGAAGAAGCCCCGGCUAACUUCGUG